RNAcentral lists this ribosomal RNA (447 nucleotides) under uncultured bacterium. Its description in RNAcentral is "bacterial SSU rRNA". It matches the Rfam family "Bacterial small subunit ribosomal RNA", at positions 329 to 792 of the family's 1533-position model. The record is from RNAcentral.
CGCCAGACUCCUACGGGAGGCAGCAGUGGGGAAUAUUGCACAAUGGGGGAAACCCUGAUGCAGCGACGCCGCGUGAGUGAAGAAGUAUUUCGGUAUGUAAAGCUCUAUCAGCAGGGAAGAAAAUGACGGUACCUGACUAAGAAGCCCCGGCUAACUACGUGCCAGCAGCCGCGGUAAUACGUAGGGGGCAAGCGUUAUCCGGACUUACUGGGUGUAAAGGGAGCGUAGGUGGCAUGGUAAGCCAGAAGUGAAAACCCGGGGCUCAACCCCGCGGAUUGCUUUUGGAACUAUCAGGCUGGAGUGCUGGAGGGGUAAGCGGAAUUCCUAGUGUAGCGGCGAAAUGCGUAGAUAUUAGGGGGAACACCGGUGGCGAAGGCGGCUUACUGGACAGAAACUGACACUGAGGCUCGAAAGCGUGGGGAGCAAACAGGAUUAGAUACCCGCGUA